AUUAAACAAGUGGCUGGCACAGUGCUUCUAACAGCUCCUGGAACAUAGUAAACACUGUACAGGAACUUGCUCUUAGCACACUACUCUGGCUAUGAUCACUAUCUGGAUCCAUGUGUUGGUAUUUGGAAGAUAAGUGGCUUGGCCGCUGUCGUCCCCACCAGGGCAAGAAGCCAAAGCUAAGCUGUGAGCAUCCGGCUACACUCCAAACGCCCAACAUGAGAUCAUUUCUUUGUGAGGCUGCCUGCUUCCCAACAGAAGAACCUCUUCAAGUAAGAAAACUCAAAGAGCCUCUUUACCUCUGGGAUGAAGGGAGGAAUGAAUCCACCAGGAAACAGGGCUGGAGAGGCGAAGACAAACAGAUUCCUGAAGCACAUUGGUCAUCCAGCUUAGCCUAAUCAACAAGUCCCGGGUCCCAGUGAGAGAAGAGACUGUCUCAGAAAACAAGGUGCUAGCAGCUGAGGAGGAAUACUUGAGGUUGACUUUUGGUGUUCAUAUGAACGCAUACAUGGCACUUAAACUGAAACAGAUGAACACAUGCACACACAUAACCACACAAAAGCACUACACACACACACACACACACACACACACACACACGUGCAUACCCCUACACAUAAGCACUAUAUAUACAUGACACAUACACUUAUGUUAUGUUGACUUCUCAUUCCAAUCAGAAUGCCCUCCCUCCCUCCAAGUCUUUUCCACUAAUAUUACCAUCUAAGCUCAUGCAUGAUGACAUCUGGUGUGGGCUUGCUCCCCUUGGCUUAUUGGUACUUUUUUUGUUCACCACCCUUCCCUCAUCGAACACUUUUCCUCUGAUGCAAGACUCUGCCUGCUCACAAGUCUCCAUCAGACA
Molecule: long non-coding RNA, 856 nt
Organism: Mesocricetus auratus (golden hamster)
Lineage: Eukaryota; Metazoa; Chordata; Mammalia; Rodentia; Cricetidae
Exons: 4
Source: RefSeq, a predicted model, not a curated record